GUAUCCAGAGCAAUCCUGACCUCAGAUAACUUUUAGUGAUGUGCAUUUCUUUUAAUAUUGUGGCAUGUAUCUAGGUAAUGUAUUGAUUAAAGUAUGCUAUGUAUGUUAUUUAUUUGUGAAUUAGUGAUAAGUUAUCCGAUAUGUCCGGUAAUGCUCCGUAAUCUAGUUCCGGCGACGGAUACGGGUUGGGGGUGUUACACUCCAAAGGUGAUAUGACCCUUAUGCUAAUACCUAUAACUCAGGGUGGAAAUAUCAUCUCAACUUGAGUUACGAAGCUAACCUACAGUACAACCAGCCAUACCAAAACCUGAUUCCACAACAGCCGUGAGAUUCAAGUACCUCGCUAGAAACCAUGGUCAAUAAAUUAGCAGCU
This 373-nucleotide long non-coding RNA is filed under the name Gossypium barbadense (sea-island cotton). Its description in RNAcentral is "long non-coding RNA (GBAR_LNC018705)". Lineage: Eukaryota; Viridiplantae; Streptophyta; Magnoliopsida; Malvales; Malvaceae. The record is from RNAcentral.